UGAUCAGUACUAUGUUGGAUCAAAUAAUAGCAUACAGGGUGCCUGUGUUGAAAAUGUACUGGACUCUGUUGUUAUGUCGUUACGUCGUGAUCGGAAUAGGAAAUUUGUCUUUGCUGAAAUGGCAUUUUUCCAUCGGUGGUGGAUUAGGCAAAGCCCGGAAAUUCAAGCAGAAGUGAAAAAUCUUGUAGCUUCUGGCCAGCUGGAAUUCGUAAAUGGUGGUUGGUGUAUGCAUGAUGAAGCGACUACCCAUUAUAUAGAUAUGAUUGAUCAGACAACACUAGGCCAUCAACUGAUAAAGAAUGAAUUCAAUAUCACUCCUCGUGCAGGAUGGCAGAUCGAUCCAUUUGGGCACUCUGCCGUGCAAGCUUAUCUUCUUGGCGCAGAGGUAGGAUUUGAUUCUGUUCACUUUGCGCGCAUUGAUUAUCAAGACAGAGCAAAACGUAAGGAGGAUAAAGCUCUUGAGGUUAUAUGGCGUGGUUCGAGAACAUUUGGUUCUUCCUCCCAGAUAUUUACCAACGCAUUUCCUGUACAUUAUAGUCCACCACAUGGUUUUCAUUUCGAAGUGGAUGAUGCUGAUGAUUUUGUUCCAGUCCAGGAUGAUCCUCUUAUCUUUGACAUAAAUGUCGAUAUACGGGUUAAUGACUUCAUCAAUGCUGCAAUUACACAAGCAAACGUGACACGUACGAAUCACGUCAUGUGGACCAUGGGAGAUGACUUCCAAUACCAAUAUGCUGAAUCUUGGUUCAAG
This 748-nucleotide unclassified non-coding RNA is filed under the name Hevea brasiliensis (rubber tree). The record is from RNAcentral. Lineage: Eukaryota; Viridiplantae; Streptophyta; Magnoliopsida; Malpighiales; Euphorbiaceae.